CAGCAGCCGCGGUAAUACGAAGGGGGCUAGCGUUGCUCGGAAUUACUGGGCGUAAAGGGCGCGUAGGCGGACAGUUCAGUCGGGGGUGAAAGCCCGGGGCUCAACCUCGGAAUUGCCUUCGAUACUGGCUGUCUUGAGUAUGAGAGAGGUGUGUGGAACUCCGAGUGUAGAGGUGAAAUUCGUAGAUAUUCGGAAGAACACCAGUGGCGAAGGCGACACACUGGCUCAUUACUGACGCUGAGGCGCGAAAGCGUGGGGAGCAAACAGGAUUAGAGACCCCAGUAGUCCCUGUCUCUUAUAC
RNAcentral lists this ribosomal RNA (301 nucleotides) under uncultured bacterium. Its description in RNAcentral is "partial 16S ribosomal RNA". It matches the Rfam family "Bacterial small subunit ribosomal RNA", at positions 509 to 807 of the family's 1533-position model. The record is from RNAcentral.